CCUACGGGAGGCAGCAGUGGGGAAUUUUCCGCAAUGGGCGAAAGCCUGACGGAGCAAUACCGCGUGAGGGAGGAAGGCUCUUGGGUCGUAAACCUCUUUUCUCAGGGAAGAAAAAAAUGACGGUACCUGAGGAAUAAGCAUCGGCUAACUCCGUGCCAGCAGCCGCGGUAAUAC
Molecule: ribosomal RNA, 174 nt
Filed under: uncultured cyanobacterium
Lineage: Bacteria; Bacillati; Cyanobacteriota
Description: partial 16S rRNA
Rfam family: Bacterial small subunit ribosomal RNA
Source: RNAcentral